UACAGAGGGUGCAAGCGUUAAUCGGAGUUACUGGGCGUAAAGGGCGCGUAGGCGGUCGUAUAAGUGAGAUGUGAAAGCCCUGGGCUUAACCUAGGAAUUGCAUCUUAUACUGUAUGACUGGAGUACUGUAGAGGGUAGUGGAAUUUCCGGUGUAGCGGUGAAAUGCGUAGAGAUCGGAAGGAACACCAGUGGCGAAGGCGGCUACCUGGACAGAUACUGACGCUGAGGCGCGAGAGCGUGGGGAGCAAACAGG
RNAcentral lists this ribosomal RNA (253 nucleotides) under uncultured bacterium. RNAcentral's name for it is "partial 16S ribosomal RNA". It matches the Rfam family "Bacterial small subunit ribosomal RNA", at positions 524 to 776 of the family's 1533-position model. The record is from RNAcentral.